Molecule: long non-coding RNA, 474 nt
Filed under: Brassica rapa (field mustard)
Lineage: Eukaryota; Viridiplantae; Streptophyta; Magnoliopsida; Brassicales; Brassicaceae
Description: long non-coding RNA (BRAP_LNC008588)
Source: RNAcentral
CCAAAUGAAACACAAGUCUAGAUGAUACUUAUGCAAUCAAGGCGACAAGAGUGAUUCAAUUCAUGCUUAUGCUCACUAGUUUUAUCAAUGCCAAUGAUCCAAAUAGCUUAGACAUACUUCUAAAUGCUUAUAAGACAUCACUGAUGGAUUUAACUAUGGCAUAGCAACAAUCAGAACUGGACUGAGACAAGACAAGUAGAUUUCAAUCUCUUAACAAUGACAAUGCAAGUUCUAUUUUUUUUUUUUUAAGUUCUCUAAAUGCAAUACAAGCUUAUCAGCACAUUUGCAAUUUAGGCUCAUUUUUAAAUGCAUUAUUACAUGAAUGCACAAUCUUAAAGCUUUAGCUAUAUGAAUGCAACAGGUUCAAUCCAUGAGCAAUAUUAAGGCUAUGCACAACAGUUUCAAUCAAAACCAAUGAUGCAAACAACUUAGACAAUUUCUAAUUGAUGCAAGACUUUCAUUGAUGGAUUAAAC